GUGGGGAAUAUUGGGCAAUGGAGGCAACUCUGACCCAGCAACGCCGCGUGAAUGAAGAAGGCCUUCGGGUUGUAAAGUUCUUUAAUUGGGGACGAAGGAAAUGACGGUACCCAAAGAAUAAGCCACGGCUAACUACGUGCCAGCAGCCGCGGUAAUACGUAGGUGGCAAGCGUUGUCCGGAAUGACUGGGCGUAAAGGGAGCGUAGGCGGCGCGGUAAGUUAGGAGUGAAAUCCCGGGGCUCAACCCCGGAACUGCUUUUAAAACUGCCGUGCUUGAGUGAUGGAGAGGAAAGCGGAAUUCCUAGUGUAGCGGUGGAAUGCGUAGAUAUUAGGAGGAACACCAGAGGCGAAGGCGGCUUUCUGGACAUUAACUGACGCUGAGGCUCGAAAGCGUGGGGAGCAAACAGG
RNAcentral lists this ribosomal RNA (408 nucleotides) under uncultured bacterium. Its description in RNAcentral is "bacterial SSU rRNA". It matches the Rfam family "Bacterial small subunit ribosomal RNA", at positions 354 to 776 of the family's 1533-position model. The record is from RNAcentral.